UGAGGAAUAUUGGUCAAUGGGCGCGAGCCUGAACCAGCCAAGUCGCGUGAGGGAGGACGGCCCUACGGGUUGUAAACCUUCUUUUGCCGGGGAGCAACGGGCGUCACGUGUGGCGCCACUGAGAGUUACCCGGAGAAAAAGCAUCGGCUAACUCCGUGCC
This 160-nucleotide ribosomal RNA is filed under the name uncultured bacterium. RNAcentral describes it as "partial 16S ribosomal RNA". It matches the Rfam family "Bacterial small subunit ribosomal RNA", at positions 355 to 509 of the family's 1533-position model. The record is from RNAcentral.